Molecule: transfer RNA, 73 nt
Filed under: Globodera pallida
Lineage: Eukaryota; Metazoa; Nematoda; Chromadorea; Rhabditida; Heteroderidae
Also listed under: 3 other names
Description: tRNA-Thr
Rfam family: tRNA
About the family: Transfer RNA (tRNA) molecules are approximately 80 nucleotides in length.
Source: RNAcentral
GCCUCCUUAGCUCAAUUGGCAGAGCAACUGAUUUGUAAUCAGUAGGUUGCUGGUUCGAUUCCGGCAGGGGGCA